UCUUAUAACCUGUCAAUCAAUUUUUAGGACGAAUUUGAUCGAAUAAUAAUUAAAUUUUAUUAUAAAUCAAAAAAAGUGUCUCCAUGAAUACAAAUUGAAUCAAUUUGGAGUUUCCCCACGCAAAAACGCUACAUUUAUUGCUUUAAAACCAGCAUAUCUUAUAAAAAAACAAAAUGGAUGAGAAACGAAAACUUUCCGAAGAAGAUUUGACAAAUUUAACAAAAUAUUUCAUUGGAAACAACACUCGAUACAGAGACACAAUAAUAAUCCUAAAAAAAAGUAAUUUAAUCAUCAAAUGAGUGAUGAUGUUGGGAUGAUCGUGGAGGAGGAUGUGGUAAUAAUUAUAAAAGUAGACGGCUCAAAAAUAAAAGAAAAAACUCCUUAUUAUGAUAAUAAAGCAAAAAUGAAAUGUAAAUGUACGAUUUGUCAAUAAGAAGGUGAGAUGAUUUUAAUGAUUCAAUCUUAAUUUUGGAAACUUUUUAAGUUACACUCGCCCCAUUUGUCCGAAUAAAUGAAUUUUGUUGAAUUUA
Non-coding RNA from Onthophagus taurus, 530 nucleotides. Lineage: Eukaryota; Metazoa; Arthropoda; Insecta; Coleoptera; Scarabaeidae. The record is from RefSeq and is a predicted model, not a curated record.